RNAcentral lists this unclassified non-coding RNA (235 nucleotides) under uncultured Phanerochaetaceae. Its description in RNAcentral is "sequence contains ITS2". The record is from RNAcentral. Lineage: Eukaryota; Fungi; Basidiomycota; Agaricomycetes; Polyporales; Phanerochaetaceae.
AAUUCUCAACCCUCAAGGUUUGUUCCUUGAUGGGCUUGGACUUGGAGGGGCUUGUGUCGGCUCUUGUCAGCCGACUCCUCUGAAAUGCAUUAGCGUGAAUCUUACGGACCACCUUCGGCGUGAUAAUUAUCUGCGCUGUGGUGCUGCGAAGUAUUUAAACUGACUCAUGCUUACAACAAAUUCUGAUCGUGCUUCCUUUUCGGAGACACGCUUUAGUUUUUAUUAUAUAUGACAU